This 488-nucleotide long non-coding RNA is filed under the name Nicotiana benthamiana. RNAcentral describes it as "long non-coding RNA (NBEN_LNC041286)". The record is from RNAcentral. Lineage: Eukaryota; Viridiplantae; Streptophyta; Magnoliopsida; Solanales; Solanaceae.
UAUGUUUAUAAUAUGAUAUGCUUGCUUGUAUAUUUUCUUUUGCAUCAGAAAUAGAUUGGUGAUGCCUCUUGAGUAUUUCAAACGUAUUCUGAAGCUGUAUUAACAUUAAUAAUUCUGAGAAUCAGGACCGGAUCCCUUUUCUGAAGUGUUAUAGUGAAAAUUGAAAAUUUUGGAAUGAUAACCCGGGAUCGAUGCUGGAUAAAGAAUUAUAUAUCGUGUAGUUUUGACCUGGUUUAAUUUAAAUUCUAUUCUAGUAUCAAAAGUUUGGUCGAGCAUUUUAGCAGUUGUUUUGUAGUAUAUGAUCAUUGAGUAAGUUAUUUAGUUCUGUCUUGAAGAGAUUUUGGUCUGAUCCAAAAAGCUUAAUAAACACUUACUUUAAAGUCAGCAAGGCCUUAAGCUUCAAUAAUUGGGCUUAGAUCAAAAUCUUGUUGCAGUCUAAUGUUCGCAAAGAAAGAAGAAAGCAGCCAGAUCCUCCUUGUGUUGUCUGU